CCUACGAGGGGCUGCAGUAGGGAAUUUUCGUCAAUGGGCGCAAGCCUGAACGAGCAAUGCCGCGUGAACGAGGAAUGUCUUCGGAUCGUUAAGUUUUGUUUAUGGGGAAAUAGAGUGGAGAAAGGAAAUGCUUUUUGAUUGAUAUUAUCCUUCGAGGUAGUCACGCCUAACUCCGUCCCAGCAGCGGCGGUAAUACGUGGGUGCGUAGGGUUGUCUGGAUUGGUUGGGCGUAAGGGGUGCGUAGGGGGUCGGCUAAGUCUGAAGUAAAAGUUCCCGGCUGAACCGUUACAGGUUAUGGAAACUGGCAGGCUAGAGAACAGGAGAGGGCGGUGGAACUCGAGGUGUAGCGGUAAAAUGCGUAGAUAUAUGGAAGAACUCCAGUGGCGAAGGCAGCCGCCUAGCCUGUUACUGACGCUGAGGCACGAAAGCGUGGGGAGCAAAUAGGAUUAGAUACCCCAGUAGUC
Molecule: ribosomal RNA, 464 nt
Filed under: uncultured bacterium
Lineage: Bacteria
Description: partial 16S ribosomal RNA
Rfam family: Bacterial small subunit ribosomal RNA
Source: RNAcentral